This 305-nucleotide ribosomal RNA is filed under the name uncultured bacterium. RNAcentral's name for it is "bacterial SSU rRNA". It matches the Rfam family "Bacterial small subunit ribosomal RNA", at positions 335 to 633 of the family's 1533-position model. The record is from RNAcentral.
CACCUACGGGGGGCAGCAGUGGGGGAUAUUGCACAAUGGGGGAAACCCUGAUGCAGCGACGCCGCGUGGGCGAAGAAGUAUUUCGGUAUGUAAAGCCCUGUUGUUAGAGAAGAAAGUGCGUGAGAGUAACUGUUCACGUUUCGACGGUAUCUAACCAGAAAGCCACGGCUAACUACGUGCCAGCAGCCGCGGUAAUACGUAGGUGGCAAGCGUUAUCCGGAUUUAUUGGGCGUAAAGGGAACGCAGGCGGUCUUUUAAGUCUGAUGUGAAAGCCUUCGGCUUAACCGGAGUAGUGCAUUGGAAAA